ACGAUUCUGGCUCAGAUUAGACGCUGGCAGGAUGCUUUACCAUGCGGAAGCGAACGGCAGCACGGACUUCGAUCUGGUGGCGAGUGGCGAACGGGUGAGUAAUGUAUCGGAACGUGCCUAGUAGCGGGGGGAUAACUACGCGAAAGCGUAGCCUAACCACACUGCUCGCCCUUCGGAGAGAAAGCAGGGGACCUUCGGGCCUCGCACUAUUAAACGGCCGAUAUCGGAUUAGCUAGUUGGUGGAGUAGCGGCUCGCGAAGGCGGCAAAUCCGUAGCUGGUUUGAGAGGACGACCAGCCACACUGGACUGAGACACGGCCCAGACUCCUACGGGGAGGGCAACAGUGAAAUUUUGGACAAUGGAAACCUGAUCCAGCCAUCCCGCGUGUGCGAUGAAGGCCUUCGGGUUGUAAGCCUUUUUGGCAGGAAAACGGCACGGGAUAAUACCCGUGCAACUGACGGUACCUGCAGAAUGACACCUGGCUAACUACGUGCCAGCAGCCGCGGUAAUACGUAGGGUGCAAGCGUUAAUCGGAAUUACUGGGCGUAAAGCGUGCGCAGUGAUUCGGAAGAAAAAUCUUGAAAUCCCAGAGCUUAACUUUGGAACUGCAUUUUUAACUACCGAGCUAAAGUGUGUAGAGGAAGUGGAAUUCCCGCGCGAUGUAGCAGUGAAAUGCGUAGAUAUGCGGAAGACACCAUAAUGGCGAAGCUGACUCGCAGGAUAACACUGACGCUCAUGCACGAAAGCGUGGGAGCAAGCAGGAUUAGAUGCCCUGGUGGUCCAUACCCUAAACGAUGUCAACUAGCUGUUGGGGCCUUCGGGCCUUGGUGACGCAGCUAACGCGUGAAGUUGACCGCCUGGGAAAUACGGUCACUGAAUUAAAACUCAAAGGAAUUGACGGGGACCCACUGAAGCGGUGGAUGAUGCCUGAUUGAUUAUUCGAUGCAGCGCGAAAAGCCUUACCUACCCUUGACAUGUCUGGGAAUCCCGAAGAAAUUUGGGAGUGCUCGCAAAGAGAACCGGAACACAGGUGCAUGGCUGUCGUCAGCUCGUGUCGUGAGAUGUUGGGUUAGAAUCCCGCAACGAACAUGACACUUGUCAUUAGUUGCCACGAAGGGCACUCUAUUGAGACUGCCGGUGACAAACCGGAGGAAGGUGGGGAUGACGUCAAGUCCUCGCGGCCCUUAUGGGUAGGGCUUCACACGUCAUACAAUGGUCAGGACAGAGGGUCGCCAACCCCGCGAGGAGGCCAAUCCCGAAACUGAUCGUAGUCCGGAUCGCAGUCUGCAACUCGACUGCGUGAAGUCAGAAUCGCUAGUAAUCAUAGAUCAGCAUGUCGCGGUGAAUACGUUCCAGGUCUUGUACACACCACCGCCCGUCACAUCUGGAGUGGGUUUUACCAGAAGUAGUUAGCCUAACCGGCAAGGAGGCGAUUCUACGGUAGGAUUCAUGACUGGGGCGAAGUCAUGCUCGGUAA
This 1477-nucleotide ribosomal RNA is filed under the name uncultured Bordetella sp. Its description in RNAcentral is "partial 16S-23S ribosomal RNA intergenic spacer". It matches the Rfam family "Bacterial small subunit ribosomal RNA". Lineage: Bacteria; Pseudomonadati; Pseudomonadota; Betaproteobacteria; Burkholderiales; Alcaligenaceae. The record is from RNAcentral.